GAUGAACGCUGGCGGCGUGCCUAAUACAUGCAAGUCGAGCGAACAGACGAGGAGCUUGCUCCUCUGACGUUAGCGGCGGACGGGUGAGUAACACGUGGAUAACCUACCUAUAAGACUGGGAUAACUUCGGGAAACCGGAGCUAAUACCGGAUAAUAUAUUGAACCGCAUGGUUCAAUAGUGAAAGACGGUUUUGCUGUCACUUAUAGAUGGAUCCGCGCCGCAUUAGCUAGUUGGUAAGGUAACGGCUUACCAAGGCAACGAUGCGUAGCCGACUUGAGAGGGGGAUCGGCCCAGCGGGAACUGAGAAGCGGUCCAGGCUCUUAGGGGGGGCAGGAGGAGGGAAUGUGCCGAAAGGGGCGAAAGCGUGAGGGGGGAACGCCGCGGGGGUGAAGAAGGGUUGGGGAUUGGAAAACUCUUUUAUUGGGGAAAAAAAAAGGUGUAAGUAACUAUGCACGUCUUGACGGUACCUAAUCAGAAAGCCCCGGCGAACUAGGG
This 496-nucleotide ribosomal RNA is filed under the name uncultured bacterium. RNAcentral describes it as "partial 16S ribosomal RNA". It matches the Rfam family "Bacterial small subunit ribosomal RNA", at positions 28 to 506 of the family's 1533-position model. The record is from RNAcentral.